GAUCAUGGCUCAGAUUGAACGCUGGCGGAAUGCUUUACACAUGCAAGUCGAACGGUAGAGGGGGCAACCCUUGAGAGUGGCGAACGGGUGAGUAAUAUAUCGGAACGUGCCCAGUCGUGGGGGAUAACGUAGCGAAAGUUACGCUAAUACCGCAUACGAUCUACGGAUGAAAGCGGGGGACUCGCAAGAGCCUCGCGCGAUUGGAGCGGCCGAUAUCAGAUUAGGUAGUUGGUGGGGUAAAGGCUCACCAAGCCAACGAUCUGUAGCUGGUCUGAGAGGACGACCAGCCACACUGGAACUGAGACACGGUCCAGACUCCUACGGGAGGCAGCAGUGGGGAAUUUUGGACAAUGGACGCAAGUCUGAUCCAGCCAUUCCGCGUGCAGGAUGAAGGCCCUCGGGUUGUAAACUGCCUUUGUACGGAACGAAAAGGUUUCUAUUAAUACUAGGAGCUCAUGACGGUACCGUAAGAAUAAGCACCGGCUAACUACGUG
RNAcentral lists this ribosomal RNA (494 nucleotides) under uncultured bacterium. RNAcentral describes it as "bacterial SSU rRNA". It matches the Rfam family "Bacterial small subunit ribosomal RNA", at positions 15 to 507 of the family's 1533-position model. The record is from RNAcentral.